This 1312-nucleotide long non-coding RNA is filed under the name Homo sapiens (human). Its description in RNAcentral is "HSALNT0376695". The record is from RNAcentral. Lineage: Eukaryota; Metazoa; Chordata; Mammalia; Primates; Hominidae.
GCGGGUGAGGCGCGGCGAGAAUUCGAUCGCGGCGCGGGCGGGCCUGCCGUGCUGGGGGAGCCGGGGCACCCUCCGCAGCUGCUGGCCCCGGUGCUAAGCCCCUUACUGCUGGUGGCCGGUGGCGCGGCCGGCCGCUCCGAGUGCGGGCCCGCCUAGCCCAGCGCCCACCCGGAACCGGCGCCGGCCCGUGAGCACCGCGUGCAGCACCGGCUCCCGCCCGCGCCUUUCUCUCCACACCUCCCUGCGAGGAGAGGGAGCCGGCUGCGGCCUCGGCCAGUCCCAUAGUGGGACCCCUCCAGCGCAGCGGACGGCUGAAGGGGUCCUUGAGCGCGGCCACUGCUUGAGCGCGGCCAGAGUGGACGCCGAGGCCGAGGAGGCGCGGAGAGAGAGCGAGGACUGCUAGCACGUUGUCACCUCUCAAUCUCCUCCGGGAGUGGUGGGCAGCUACUGUGAAAGGCCUGGUUCAAAAACCUCACAGCGGUUGUUUUCAGAGUUGUCCCUCCUGUGUACUCUCAAAGCCCCAGAAUGAAGCAAAGCAUCCUCCCUUUUCAAACUGGCACUCUUCCCCAACCUUGAGGACCACUAGGCACUUUGUUUUUAAAGCCACAGCAGAGGAAGCUCACCUAUGGCUACUGCCACUACAGGUCCACAGGGAGUAAUGCCCGGCUACCACUGAUGUUCAUUAAGACCCAAGGGUUCUUCAGUCGGCUUGUGGUAGAUGCUGCCUGGCCUGGGACUCACCCUUCAGGACAGUGGGCUCCCUUCUGGCCCAAGGCAGGUCCAGAAUUACUGUCCAGGAGCCAAGGCUUUGAAUCAGGGACCUCAAGAGCCCGCUUGAUGUUCUACCCCACUAUGGCUGCGCCUGUACCUAAGGUGCAAAAGUCCCCUUUACUUUUCCCUCUACUUUUCUCCAGCAUAAGGAGUCUCUCCCCAUAGCCACCAUGGCUGGAAAUGUGCUGAGUCUCAUUUGAAGCCAGCUAGUCUCAGAGUCUCACAGAAGGCCCACUGCAUACCUAGGUAUCGCUGGUAUCGCUGGCUAUUUGGAGCUUAAGAGCUCUUCAAUCCUCUGACAUCUUGAUUGCAGCCUUUGAGAGACCCUGGGCCAGAGGAUCCAGCUAUUGCCAUGCUUAAAUUUCCAACCCAAAUGUAACUGUGAGAUAAAUGUUGUUUUAAGCCACUAAUUUUUUUAAUUACUGUAUUAAUUUUAACAGAUAAUACAAUAAGAGUUUUAAAAUAAAAAUUUUGAUAUUACAAUAAUAUACUUCAUGGAUUAUUGUGACAUGUUGGAAUGCACUUACCCUCUUAGACCUGA